AGAACGAGCAGUCCCUCUCCUGGAGGAGCCUGCCUUCCCACCACGGAGGCUAACACCACAACAGCCACAGUGAGCCACCCCUUCUGCCCAUCUUCUUACGUGUCAAGCACUGUGUUCAGUGCCUUCACAGAUCAAAACCUAAAAAGGUGGGAAUGAAAGAAGCUCCUAACCCUCCUGGCUUUUUUCCCAAAGCCAGGAGGCAGCUCCUGAAUGGUGGAUUUUGGACUACUGGUGAGGCUGUCAGCAAAGGGCCUGGCCCAGAGAGAUGCUCAAGAGUAGGAUGAAAAGACCGUGGGCUUCUUCCUCUGCAAAAGGAAAGGUUUGGGACUGAUGGAUGCUGAAAAGUCUAGAUCUUCAUAAUCCUCAACAGCUUCACUGCCACUGCACACACAAAAUGAGUGUGCCCUAUAUUUCCAGCCCUCUGAUGAAUACGAAAAGAGCCUGAAGAACUCAUCUUCCUGGUCGCAAAGUACUUUAAAAUAUAUAAUCCCUCAAUCUUAAACAUACACAUUUUAUUGCUUUUUAUUAUACAAUAAUACAUAUUUACUAUUGAAAAUACAGAUAAGAAAAAAGAAAAUGGUUCAUAAUAAUACUACCCAGGUUUAAAAAAUACUAUUCAGCCUUAUGUUGAAGAAUCUGACUCUUUUCCUAUGCAAGCAUGUAUUUCAAGCAAAACUGGACACUUCAUGUGUACCUUGUUUUGUGAUCUUUUUUUCCCAAAUUAAUAUAUAAUCAAUAUCUUUUUGUAUCAAUCUUCAAUCCUUUCUUCUGUCACUUAUUUUUAAUGGUUAACAGUCAUCUACUAUAUAGAUAUUCUGUAAUUUAUUAAAGUGAUCCCUCAUUCUUGAAUACUGAA
This is a long non-coding RNA of Homo sapiens (human), 856 nucleotides long. Ensembl annotates it as long intergenic non-protein coding RNA 595. The record is from Ensembl. NCBI's taxonomy places the organism in Eukaryota, Metazoa, Chordata, Mammalia, Primates, Hominidae.